RNAcentral lists this transfer RNA (71 nucleotides) under Candidatus Nanopelagicales bacterium. RNAcentral's name for it is "tRNA-Gln". It matches the Rfam family "tRNA". From Rfam's summary of the family: Transfer RNA (tRNA) molecules are approximately 80 nucleotides in length. Lineage: Bacteria; Bacillati; Actinomycetota; Actinomycetes; Candidatus Nanopelagicales. The record is from RNAcentral. RNAcentral also lists the same sequence under 2 other names.
UCCCGGGUCGUCUAAUGGCAGGACAGCGGACUUUGAAUCCGUGAACAGAGGUUCGACUCCUCUCCCGGGAG